CCGCUUAAGACUAGAUAGUCCAAAGUCUCGAUA
This 33-nucleotide small RNA is filed under the name Arabidopsis thaliana (thale cress). RNAcentral's name for it is "ATSL232660". Lineage: Eukaryota; Viridiplantae; Streptophyta; Magnoliopsida; Brassicales; Brassicaceae. The record is from RNAcentral.